GUGCUCACUCUGGCAGCACGUAUACUAAAACUGGAAUGCUACAGAGAAGGUUAGCGUGGCCCCUGCACAAAGAUGGCACGCAAAUUCAUGAAGCGGGCCAUGAUUUU
RNAcentral lists this small nuclear RNA (107 nucleotides) under Dasypus novemcinctus (nine-banded armadillo). Lineage: Eukaryota; Metazoa; Chordata; Mammalia; Cingulata; Dasypodidae. The record is from RNAcentral.